This 72-nucleotide transfer RNA is filed under the name Dielma fastidiosa. RNAcentral describes it as "Clostridiaceae bacterium JC13 tRNA". It matches the Rfam family "tRNA". Rfam says of the family: Transfer RNA (tRNA) molecules are approximately 80 nucleotides in length. Their secondary structure includes four short double-helical elements and three loops (D, anti-codon, and T loops). Lineage: Bacteria; Bacillati; Bacillota; Erysipelotrichia; Erysipelotrichales; Erysipelotrichaceae. The record is from Rfam by way of RNAcentral.
GCCCCCGUAGUUAAAUGGAUAUAACAAGAUCCUCCUAAGAUUUAGUUAUCAGUUCGAUUCUGGUCGGGGGUG